RNAcentral lists this ribosomal RNA (449 nucleotides) under uncultured bacterium. RNAcentral's name for it is "partial 16S ribosomal RNA". It matches the Rfam family "Bacterial small subunit ribosomal RNA", at positions 29 to 523 of the family's 1533-position model. The record is from RNAcentral.
AACGAACGCUGGCGGCAGGCCUAACACAUGCAAGUCGAGCGAAGCCUUCGGGCUUAGCGGCGGACGGGUGAGUAACGCGUGGGAACGUGCCCUUUGGUACGGAAUAGCCCCGGGAAACUGGGAGUAAUACCGUAUGUGCCCUUCGGGGGAAAGAUUUAUCGCCAAAGGAUCGGCCCGCGUUGGAUUAGGUAGUUGGUGGGGUAAUGGCCUACCAAGCCGACGAUCCAUAGCUGGUUUGAGAGGAUGAUCAGCCACACUGGGACUGAGACACGGCCCAGACUCCUACGGGAGGCAGCAGUGGGGAAUCUUAGACAAUGGGGGAAACCCUGAUCUAGCCAUGCCGCGUGAUCGAUGAAGGCCUUAGGGUUGUAAAGAUCUUUCAGUGGGGAAGAUAAUGACUGUACCCACAGAAGAAGCCCCGGCUAACUCCGUGCCAGCAGCCGCCGUAA